CGGGGAUUGUCAGUAGUGUUGUGGGCAGUGUUGAAGGAGGAACUUGACAUGGGAGGUCGACCAGCAGGAAGAUACAGCAGAAUCGGCGGCAGCAGCGAUGACGAGGGUAUCGCUACACAAGAUGACUGAAAUAGCUUGCAUGCUAGGGACGCCCUCUGGUCUUAAAGCUUCUUCAGCACAAAGGUGCUGCUCCUACCCGACUGGAGGACACCGCCCGCAUCGCUUUAGUCUGGAUUACUGGCAAGUUUGCCCAGCAUGCCCUAUUUAUAUUACCAGUACUUCUCUCCAUUAUUUUAAGUCUAUUCCAAACUUGUUUACCAAUGUCGCCGUCAAGCAAGUGGGAAAGUAUUACCCACUUGCUUAAAAGCCUAUUAAUUUU
Long non-coding RNA from Procambarus clarkii (red swamp crayfish), 379 nucleotides. RefSeq lists it as uncharacterized. Lineage: Eukaryota; Metazoa; Arthropoda; Malacostraca; Decapoda; Cambaridae. The record is from RefSeq and is a predicted model, not a curated record.